UUUCGACUAGGUCGAGAUCUGGUCGUGUUUGGUUCAUUCUAGUCUCGGAGCUCAACCGAGAAGGUUCAGGUUGAACCACUGGUGAAUGCCAGAAGGUCUCUCCAACUGGGGAGACCUUAAACUGAACCUCAACAGUUUUGUGUCAGAUAUAAAUGGGGAAGCCGAGAUGAAGAAAAAAUCUCUAUGGCAGGCCUAGGAACAAGCUUCCUUUCUUGGCUAAAAGGAAAAUCUUGGGGCAGUUCUGGAACUCCAUAAGCAAAGCAGCACCGUUUUAAAGAGCCACAUCGCGAAGUCCCAGUCAGACAGAUCCUGGCCGUGGUCUUCGCCUUGAGAUGCCGCCUGCAGGAGCUGCUGGAGGAGUUUCUGACCUGUGCUAUUAGGUGAUUUCGUGAAAGCUCCCAUACUCUCGAACGCCGAGGUCCUGGAAGUUGCUGGAUAGGCCGUCCUUCCAGCCCGAGAAGGCUUCUUUCCCCUCGUAUUUCCACUUAGAUAUCUGUAUGUCAUACUGAUACCAGUUUAGACCAACACUGCCUAUCACAUCAAGCUUAUUUCAAUAAUAGCAUUAAAGGGUCAGAAUGCUGACGGACAGAUGCGCUCCAGUGAAGACGACGAUGAUGAUGAGGAAUAUACGUCCCUAUCGGGUCGGUUGUGGGUCAUUUAAAGCAGGUGCAAGUCAGAGAACAAAGUCUUGUUUUUUGGCUUGCACCUGUUCUAGAUUGUACCCACACCUUGACGGCAUCCGGCGUAUAUAUUCCUCAUCAUCAUCGUCGUCCUCGCUGGUGUGCAUCGGCUCGUCGGCAUUUUGUCCUCUAAAAGAUUCUGGCAAGGAUUGUUUGGCCCAGGCUCAUCUAUCAGCUCCAGGCAAUGCUCCAGAAGCAGCGACCACUGGAGUUCCAGUUGUCGCUCCAUUUGGGGCACUGCGAAGCUCGUUCUGCUACCGAAGGACCAGGAACGCUAUAAUAAGCUGCAAGGAUCCUUAAUGUUACUAAAUCCUAAAUGUCCUAGUGUUACUAAAUGACCCUGAACGCAGCAUCCAAGCCGGAAUAUUGUCUAAUCUGGCAUCUAGAGUGACUCUACUCAACACUUAAUGCAAUUACGAGGGGUUGGUGGAAUUCAAGCGCUGGAAAGACUAAUCGGACUCCUUCAGGCUAAACUCCAGACACUUUGCGAUCGUGCGGACUGGAGCCAGUUGGAAGCAUCUAAUAGCUCAGCGGUUAGGAGCUCCUCCAGCGGCUUCUGCAGGGCGCAUCUCAAUGCGUUGGCCAACGGUCGGGAUCUGUAGAAGUAGAGGCAGCCUAUGAUAGAACUAAUCCAAGUGGGUCCCCAGAAUUCCGCUUCAUUUCGUACCACCAUCAUAUCAUGGAGGACUUUCAUAUACUUAUACCGCUGGAGAUUGCAUCGAAAGAUCUGGAUUCUAUUUUUUACGCUGCAACAGGAUUUGGAUAAAAAUCUACAGUACUUAAUAUUUCAAGACCCUACUUUCUACGGCAAAAUAAAAAUAAUUUACUGUGAUUUAAAGUUAUUUUAACUCAUAAUUAUUAUUGUCAAUGUGGAAGGAAGAAACAGAUAGAAUCCAGCAUCCCUCUUUAAUAUUUCUUAGUUUAUUUUAGAAAAGCAUCUCUGCUGCGGAAAAAAAUCGAUGGUGAAUCGUUUUUCUCUA
Long non-coding RNA from Drosophila ananassae, 1660 nucleotides. RefSeq lists it as uncharacterized. The record is from RefSeq and is a predicted model, not a curated record. Lineage: Eukaryota; Metazoa; Arthropoda; Insecta; Diptera; Drosophilidae. The transcript has 4 exons.